ACGAUAGUAAGCUAAACUUAAGCUCUUAGACUCAUAAUCUAAUAAUGAAUAAUUUCCUUUCGUA
RNAcentral lists this transfer RNA (64 nucleotides) under Anaticola crassicornis (slender duck louse). Its description in RNAcentral is "tRNA-Met". Lineage: Eukaryota; Metazoa; Arthropoda; Insecta; Psocodea; Philopteridae. The record is from RNAcentral.